AUCCCUGUAGCUCAGUUGGUAGAGCAUGGUGUUUGCAACACCAGGGUUGUGGGUUUGAUUCCCACAGGGGGCC
This 73-nucleotide transfer RNA is filed under the name Salmo salar (Atlantic salmon). It matches the Rfam family "tRNA". From Rfam's summary of the family: Transfer RNA (tRNA) molecules are approximately 80 nucleotides in length. Their secondary structure includes four short double-helical elements and three loops (D, anti-codon, and T loops). The record is from Rfam by way of RNAcentral. Lineage: Eukaryota; Metazoa; Chordata; Actinopteri; Salmoniformes; Salmonidae.